CCUCAGUCAGUGCCAGUCUAAAGGUGAAGGCUUUCCUUGUUGAGAGACUAUUCCUCCCUAAUGACAGAAGACUCUCUCCUAUACUUAAAUUAUUUUAACAUUUUGUAAUUUAAAAUGUUCAUAUGUGGGUUCUGUAUAUAACGAAACACACCUGCUUCUUGGGCUGGGCCCCGCCCCCACGAGGAGGGUUGAGGUGUUUCCAGGGACUCAUUUAUGACUUUCCCUGGGGGUGUGACUGUGGACUCCUAACUCGUUAACAUCUACAUUCUCUUUACUUAUCCAGUUAUGUUCUUCCAGACAUAGCUCCAAUAACAUCACCCUGCCCUUGCUCGAGGACCUUCAAUCACUGCCCACUGGCUGCAGGAUGAAUUCCCAGGCCUCUGCCUGGCCUUCAGAGCCCUCCACAAUCACCCUCAUGGCCUGUUUUCCUCCAGGAACUCACACCAGCUCUGCUUCUAGAUCAUGAGUCCACCCAGGCCGGCACAUUCGGUGAGGGCCUGCUGACUCACUAAGGUUGACUAAUCCCAAAUCCCCAACCGUUUACCAAGAGACUUAAAGUUCUGCUCUGAUAAAGACAGGCUGCCGUGCUGACAGCUGGCAGUUCCUAGCCUUUGCCUAGCUCGCCACCACCAGCAUUUUGAAAAGAAAGAUUCCAAGAAAGGCAGAAGUGAGGUGCUUGAUUUGGGUCACGGAGUCUGACCUGCCUGACUAGUUAGCGGUGAAGCUGGGUACAAGAAAUCGGGGCUCUGUGUUUCUGGACUAGCACAGUAAGAGAGACCUGCCUCAGGGAAUGCUUUAGGAAGCCUGCCAGCUCCUCCACCAGGAGCCAACAGGCUACAAAGCAGACUUCCAAGGCCCUGAGGAGCCAUGGAAUGCGCCCUUGCUUGUGUAUGCCAGAAGUCAGGUGGCUGAGGCCUCGAGAGUAGGGCCUGGGGGACAGGCCAGGCAUGGCGGUGGAAGGGGCGAGAACGGUCAUGCUGCAAAGCUUCGAAGGCCCAGCAGAGGGCUGCAGGCAGUCCGUAGCAAGGGUGGAGGGGCGCCAGUGAAGGGUGCGCCUUGGUGGCAUGUGCAGCCACAAGAGCAAGACCUGGCAGGCUUGUCAUCACUGGCUCUGUUACUCAAGUUGGACAAGAACGUGCCCCAUGGUACAGACAGGCGAGGGAUGCUAAGGAGGAUGUCUACAAGUGGGAGGAGUCUGCCAAGGCCGGGUCUCGGAGGUCACUGAGCCUUACUGCUGCCUAAUGCUUCAGUCCUCUUGACUAUCCUCAGUCAUGCCCUGGACUGGAUGUCCCUAGUUAUAAACAGGAAGCCCCACUGUCACUGCAGAGUGCCUUCAGCCUGAGCACAGCCUCGUAUCCACAGGCAUCUUCAUCAAAACCUCCCUGUCCUGUCUCACCUCCAGAAUCCUAGAUGCACACUGUGGCUCCUGUGGUAGCUCCAAAGGUGGCGUUGGAGAGCCGUGCCUCCUGACAUUCGUGGCCACAUGUAGGGGCCAGCCUAUGCCCUGCCAUAACCAGCACCACGGGACAUUUCAGGCCUCUGCCUUCAUGGCAGCUUCUGCAUUUGCACUUCCGGGAGCCCUCUGCAGCCACGCAAGCUGGCUACCAUGGAGAGAGCGAGCUCCAGCCACCGCACCGUAGGGCAAGCCCACCUCUAAGGUGGCAGCUUCUCCUGGCCUCCCCAUGGCCGCAAGCCACCUUUCCUGUGCUUAUACACAGAGGAAGGCAAGUGCCCACCUCGGUAGGACAAGAAGGAAGUAAACCCAUGAGA
Molecule: long non-coding RNA, 1770 nt
Organism: Octodon degus (degu)
Lineage: Eukaryota; Metazoa; Chordata; Mammalia; Rodentia; Octodontidae
Exons: 3
Source: RefSeq, a predicted model, not a curated record